CUCUCCCUAUCCCUGGCUGGAAGCCACAGAAUAAUAUUCAGAGACAAAUUCCCCUGUCCCACCAGGUGGAGUAGCUCUCUCUCCACCUCAGAGGGAAGGGGUUCCCUCCCAACCUGUUAGCUGCUCUGGGGUAUGGAUGUUUCCUCAGGUCAAAUAAGGACAAUGCAUUUUCUCAUUUCCCUCCAGCAUAUGGACACUGUCUGGUGAGGGACAAAAACCAGGAUCGUGUGGGCAUACCCAAGGCAGAGGUUGAGAUGACUGAUCCUAAGUCUUCUGGUUACCUCGGAAACAAGACUUGGGAAAGACGGAUUUCAUAGAUGUCCUUUCUGACAGCUGUGGAGCACUACCAUAUCGACUUUAAAGGCCACGUAGAAUAGAAUGGUUUUGUGGAAGAAGGAGAAGGAAGAUGGAAGGAAGUGGGCACGUGAUGGGAAAAGAGGAGAAAUACGUCCUGGGCCAGAGUCCCUUUCUCCUCUGCAGCACUGGAGGUGGGAAGAGCUUCUGGGAUAAUCUGCAUUCAGCCGUCAUCGCUUCCUUGACGAUGAAUGUCUGGCCAUCCCUGCCCUCUUCCAGGGGGUAUCCAAACCCCAGGCAGAACCUUCUACCAUGAACUAUUGCGACCACAGGAAUAUUCUGAAGAUGAAUCAAUAAGCGAUUGCAGGGCAGAUUAGCAGUCUGAACAUGGUCAUUCGACAGCACAACACAGCUAUGCCAAGUACAUGUCGUUAGAGCCACUGUACAAGGAAAUGACUUAUACCCAGUGGCUCCAAUUUUAAUGUUAUCUAAUUAGUCUAUCUGUAGAUGUUCACGUUCUUAUUUUAUACUGCUGGGAAAGGAUAUGUAUCGUCAGACACCCUUACUGUAACUCUUGCUGACGUCUGAAAGUUCCACACAAAUAUCUGGGGAUAGAAUUUGAGUCUCUGUAUGCCAAGGAUUGAGUUACUAAACACGAGAUCGUAACUAAUCCAAUGUAUGAAUCAACUUCUUUCAGAGCAUCUCCCUCCCUCCUCUUCCCUUAAAAGGAAUGGCUGGCUUUGCAAAGGUCUGUUUCUUGUUUCUUUGAGUAAAUGAUUAACCACUCGCAUGAGAAUCCUAUAAACCUUUGGGAAACAGUCUUUGAGACAAUUCUUUUUGUCCACUGGAGCCAUGUUGAAUACAUUCAAGCUGUUGGAAUUUACAAGAUAGCAGCCUAGUCACAGAACCGGUAUUGUCCCAG
RNAcentral lists this long non-coding RNA (1216 nucleotides) under Mustela putorius furo (domestic ferret). RNAcentral's name for it is "lncRNA (ENSMPUG00000024433.1)". The record is from RNAcentral. Lineage: Eukaryota; Metazoa; Chordata; Mammalia; Carnivora; Mustelidae.